RNAcentral lists this ribosomal RNA (421 nucleotides) under uncultured bacterium. Its description in RNAcentral is "bacterial SSU rRNA". It matches the Rfam family "Bacterial small subunit ribosomal RNA", at positions 355 to 774 of the family's 1533-position model. The record is from RNAcentral.
UGGGGAAUAUUGGACAAUGGGCGCAAGCCUGAUCCAGCCAUGCCGCGUGCAGGAAGAAGCAUCUAUGGUGUGUAAACUGCUUUUGUACGGGAAGAAACACUCCUACGUGUAGGAGCUUGACGGUACCGUAAGAAUAAGGAUCGGCUAACUCCGUGCCAGCAGCCGCGGUAAUACGGAGGAUCCAAGCGUUAUCCGGAAUCAUUGGGUUAAAGGGUCCGUAGGCGGUUCAAUAAGUCAGUGGUGAAAGCCCAUCGCUCAACGAUGGAACGGCCAUUGAUACUGUUAGACUUGAAUUACAAGGAAGUAACUAGAAUAUGUAGUGUAGCGGUGAAAUGCUUAGAUAUUACAUGGAAUACCAAUUGCGAAGGCAGGUUACUACUUGUGGAUUGACGCUGAUGGACGAAAGCGUGGGGAGCGAACA